CCUACGGGAGGCAGCAGUGAGGAAUAUUGGUCAAUGGACGAGAGUCUGACCCAGCCAAGUAGCGUGAAGGAUGACUGCCCUAUGGGUUGUAAACUUCUUUUAUAUGGGAAUAAAAUGUUCCACGUGUGGGAUUUUGUAUGUACCAUAUGAAUAAGGAUCGGCUAACUCCGUGCCAGCAGCCGCGGUAAUACGGAGGAUACGAGCGUUAUCCGGAUUUAUGGGGUUUAGAGGGAGCGUAGGUGGAUUGUUAAGUCCGAUGGGAAAGUUUGCGGCUCAACCGUAAAAUUGCAGUUGAAACUGGCAGUCUUGAGUACAGUAGAGGUGAGCGGAAUUCGUGGUGUAGCGGUGAAAUGCUUAGAUAUCACGAAGAACUCCGAUUGCGAAGGCAGUUCACUGGACUGCAACUGACACUGAGGCUCGAAAGUGUGGGUAUCAAACAGGAUUAGAUACCCCAGUAGUC
RNAcentral lists this ribosomal RNA (460 nucleotides) under uncultured bacterium. RNAcentral describes it as "partial 16S ribosomal RNA". It matches the Rfam family "Bacterial small subunit ribosomal RNA", at positions 338 to 795 of the family's 1533-position model. The record is from RNAcentral.